Molecule: unclassified non-coding RNA, 391 nt
Filed under: soil metagenome
Description: partial contains 5.8S ribosomal RNA, internal transcribed spacer 2, and large subunit ribosomal RNA
Rfam family: 5.8S ribosomal RNA (bases 1-122)
Source: RNAcentral
GAUGAAGAACGUAGCGAAAUGCGAUACUUGGUGUGAAUUGCAGAAUCCCGUGAACCAUCGAGUCUUUGAACGCAAGUUGCGCCCGAAGCCAUUAGGCCGAGGGCACGCCUCCCUGGGCGUCACACGUCGUUGCCCCCCCAUCUACUCCUUCGGGAUUGCGGGGGGCGGAUGAUGGCCUCCCGUGCGCCUCGUCGCGCGGUUGGCAUAAAUGCCAAGUCCUCGGCGACGCACGCCACGACAAUCGGUGGUUGCGAAACCUCGGUUGCCCGUCGUGUGCGGUCGUCGCGCAUCGAGGGCUCGAAAAAAUUGUCGGGCUCCGGCUCGGCUUUCAACGCGACCCCAGGUCAGGCGGGGUUACCCGCUGAAUUUAAGCAUAUCAAUAAGCGGAGGA